RNAcentral lists this ribosomal RNA (328 nucleotides) under Trechus schaufussi. RNAcentral's name for it is "partial 16S ribosomal RNA". The record is from RNAcentral. Lineage: Eukaryota; Metazoa; Arthropoda; Insecta; Coleoptera; Carabidae.
UUAAAUGGCUGCAGUAAUUUGACUGUACAAAGGUAGCAUAAUCAUUAGUUUUUUAAUUAAAAGCUUGUAUGAAGGGUUGGAUGAAGUAAAAUCUGUCUCUAUUUAAUUAUUUUAGAAUUUAAUUUUUAAGUUAAAAAGCUUAAAUUUUUUUAAAAGACGAGAAGACCCUAUAGAGUUUUAUAAUUUUAAUUUAAUAAUUAAUUUAGAUUUAUUAAUUUUAUUUUAUUAAAAUUAUUUUAUUGGGGUAAUAGAAAGAUUUAAAUAAUUCUUUUUUUUAAAAAACAUUAAUUUAUGAAAUUUUGUGAUCCAUUUUUAUUUUGAUUAUAAG